RNAcentral lists this ribosomal RNA (255 nucleotides) under uncultured bacterium. RNAcentral's name for it is "partial 16S ribosomal RNA". It matches the Rfam family "Bacterial small subunit ribosomal RNA", at positions 524 to 776 of the family's 1533-position model. The record is from RNAcentral.
UACGUAGGGUGCAAGCGUUAAUCGGAAUUACUGGGCGUAAAGCGUGCGCAGGCGGUGAUGUAAGACAGAUGUGAAAUCCCCGGGCUCAACCUGGGAACUGCAUUUGUGACUGCAUCGCUGGAGUACGGCAGAGGGGGGAUGGAAUUCCGCGUGUAGCAGUGAAAUGCGCAGAUAUCAGGAGGAACACCGGUGGCGAAGGCGAGUCCCUGGACAACUUCUGACGCUGAGGCACGAAAGCUAGGGGGAGCAAACAGG